AUCUCAGGAGAUCCUGCCUUCAUACCUUUGCUCAUGCUGCCUGGGAGAGCCUCCCUUCCACCUGUUCACAGCCAAGCUCUCUGAGCCUGAGCUCUCUCUGCCAUGAAGUCUUCUUUGAACCAUGAAAGAAGCUGGUGGAUGGAGAUGAAUGAGCUUUUGUUUCUGAAAAGCUGAAUUUUUAUUUCUUAGCUGAUAUACAUGGAGUCAGAACUCUUCCAUGUUGAAGACUCUGACUGAAGCCCAGGGAAGUUAUUAUGCAAGACAAUCUCCUUCUGACCAGCUUUCUAGAACUUUGAACAGAGCUGAACACAGAGACUUGAAGAAACUUGGUUGGAGGAAGUGGUUGUCCAGGAAGUCAGAGAUGGAGGCCUGUGCAGGCAGAAGCCAGGCCUGUGCAGGCAGAAGCCAGAUCCAAAAGGGCCUGGUUCAGGUUCUUCUCCAUAACCAGGGUGGCUUCCAUGGCAUCCAAGGCUUUACCCCACUCAUCCUGGGACGCUUCUGCCCAUCCUGGAAGAGGGCACGGCCACCACACUGGUUUUGCAUCUUCAAGUCGGCUCAGGACCCUCCUAAGGCUUCUCCUAAGGCAGCUUGUGGAAGAAGUGGCCCAGCCCUCCAGAGCCACAUGGUCGUGGUAGAAAUAGAAGCCCAGAGAGAGGCUCUAGGACCCCCUGGCAUUGGCACACGCUGGAGUCCUGGAGGAGCACGUGGUCGGAAGCCUUGGCUUUCUCUCCAUCUAAGGCUUGAUUUAGAUCUACAUCUCAGCACUCGGCAGAGCUACUUUCCCUCCACAUAAACGAGCUGACUCUUUGCCUUUAUAGGUUUUGCUGAAAGCAAAAUCUUAAUUGCCUGUCAUUGAAAUGG
RNAcentral lists this long non-coding RNA (861 nucleotides) under Felis catus (domestic cat). RNAcentral describes it as "lncRNA (ENSFCAG00000042557.2)". The record is from RNAcentral. Lineage: Eukaryota; Metazoa; Chordata; Mammalia; Carnivora; Felidae.